Molecule: ribosomal RNA, 337 nt
Filed under: Eudmeta marginata
Lineage: Eukaryota; Metazoa; Arthropoda; Insecta; Diptera; Stratiomyidae
Description: partial 16S ribosomal RNA
Source: RNAcentral
UCUUUUAAUUGAAGGCUUGUAUGAAUGGUUGGACGAAACAUUAACUGUUUCAAUUUAAAAAUAAGAAUUUUACUUUUUAGUAAAAAGGCUAAAAUAUAUUUAAAAGACGAUAAGACCCUAUAGAUCUUUAUAAUUUUUAAGUUGAUUUUAUAAAGAAUAAUUAAAAUUUAAUUUAUUAUAUUAUUUUAUUGGGGUGAUAAUAAGAUUUAAAAAACUCUUAUAUAUAAUAACAAAAAUUAUUGAAUUAUUGAUCCUUUAUUAUAGAUUAUAAGUUUAAGUUACCUUAGGGAUAACAGCGUAAUUUUUUUAUAGAGUUCAUAUCGAUAAAAAAGAUUGC